UGGGGAAUUUUGGACAAUGGGCGCAAGCCUGAUCCAGCAAUGCCGCGUGCAGGAUGAAGGCCUUCGGGUUGUAAAAUCCUGUCCUAAGGGAAGAAACAAAUGACGGUACCUUAGGAGGAAGCCCCGGCAAACUACGUGCCAGCAGCCGCGGUAAUACGUAGGGGGCAAGCGUUAUCCGGAAUCACUGGGCGUAAAGGGUGCGUAGGCGGCAAAGCAAGCCAGAGGUGAAAGGCAUUGGCUCAACCAAUGUAAGCCUUUGGAACUGCUUAGCUUGAGUGCAGGAGAGGUAAGUGGAAUUCCUAGUGUAGCGGUGAAAUGCGUAGAUAUUAGGAGGAACACCAGUGGCGAAGGCGACUUACUGGACUGUAACUGACGCUGAGGCACGAAAGCGUGGGGAGCGAACA
RNAcentral lists this ribosomal RNA (404 nucleotides) under uncultured bacterium. Its description in RNAcentral is "bacterial SSU rRNA". It matches the Rfam family "Bacterial small subunit ribosomal RNA", at positions 355 to 774 of the family's 1533-position model. The record is from RNAcentral.